Molecule: transfer RNA, 68 nt
Filed under: Bombus pyrosoma
Lineage: Eukaryota; Metazoa; Arthropoda; Insecta; Hymenoptera; Apidae
Description: tRNA-Gly
Source: RNAcentral
AAAUAUAUAGUAUAACAUUAUUACAUUUAAUUUCCAAUUAAAAAAUUUAAAUAUUUUUAAUAUAUUUA